RNAcentral lists this ribosomal RNA (362 nucleotides) under uncultured bacterium. RNAcentral's name for it is "partial 16S ribosomal RNA". It matches the Rfam family "Bacterial small subunit ribosomal RNA", at positions 338 to 697 of the family's 1533-position model. The record is from RNAcentral.
CCUACGGGAGGCUGCAGUGAGGAAUAUUGGUCAAUGGACGGAAGUCUGAACCAGCCAUGCCGCGUGCAGGAAGACGGCUCUAUGAGUUGUAAACUGCUUUUGUCCAAGGGUAAACCUGAAUCCGUGUAUUCAGCUGAAAGUACUGUACGAAUAAGGAUCGGCUAACUCCGUGCCAGCAGCCGCGGGAAUACGGAGGAUCCAAGCGUUAUCCGGAUUUCUUGGGUUUAAAGGGUGCGUAGGCGGAUUGAUAAGUUAGAGGUGAAAUGUCCGAGCUUAACUCGGGAACUGCCUCUAAUACUGUUGAGCUAGAGAGUAGAUGAGGUAGGCAGAAUGUAUGGUGUAGCGGUGAAAUGCGUAGAGAU